This 468-nucleotide long non-coding RNA is filed under the name Oryctolagus cuniculus (rabbit). Its description in RNAcentral is "lncRNA (ENSOCUG00000035635.1)". Lineage: Eukaryota; Metazoa; Chordata; Mammalia; Lagomorpha; Leporidae. The record is from RNAcentral.
AUGCGCACAGCGGCCCUCCCCGACUCCCUCUCCACGCCUACUUUCCUGGUUUGCUGUCUGUCUUCUGAGUCAUGGGAUCCAGGCAAGCCAGAAAACAGGGUGGAAUUUCCCUCUCCCCUGUCCACUGCUCCCACAUCUGAGCCUAAGGAUUUGAUGUCUUGGCACCUCUUCAGCGAGUCCAUGUCUGACCAUCCCCACUGCUACCACCUCGGCAACGAGAAAGAACGAGAUGGAAGCGUGAUGCAGGUGGAGGCUGCGAGUCUGUGUGCAUCUCCUCUCGGCUCCUCCUCCCGAAGACGACCCGGUACCAUCGUGAGGGGCGGUCCGUCUCCGGAGACCAUUUCUGAUCACUGCAGCCAAGAUUCCCUGGAGAAGGCCAUUCUGCUGACCACUAUACCCCCAAUGCCUUGGUCAGUUAGGACUCUCUGGGGAAGACAGCACCAUAAAGAGCAAGACCAGACCAGGUGA